UACGAAGGGGGCAAGCGUUGUUCGGAAUUACUGGGCGUAAAGGGCGCGUAGGCGGCGCAUCAAGUCAGGCGUGAAAGCCCCGGGCUCAACCCGGGAAUUGCGCUUGAUACUGGUGUGCUAGAGUCCGGGAGAGGUAAGCGGAAUUCCGAGUGUAGAGGUAAAAUUCGUAGAUAUUCGGAAGAACACCAGUGGCGAAGGCGGCUUACUGGACCGGUACUGACGCUAAGGCGCGAAAGCGUGGGGAGCAAACAGG
This 253-nucleotide ribosomal RNA is filed under the name uncultured bacterium. Its description in RNAcentral is "partial 16S ribosomal RNA". It matches the Rfam family "Bacterial small subunit ribosomal RNA", at positions 524 to 776 of the family's 1533-position model. The record is from RNAcentral.